UAUGUGAUCGUCUCUCGCAUAUCAAUAAGCGGAGGAAAAGAAACUAACAAGGAUUCCCCUAGUAACGGCGAGUGAAGCGGGAAGAGCUCAAAUUUGAAAUCAUAAAGGGUUUCCCUUUACGAAUUGUAGUUUAAAGAAGUGUUUUCUGUUGAGGUUUUGGUAAAGGUUCUUUGGAAUAGGACAUCAUAGAGGGUGAGAAUCCCGUAUUUGACCUUUACUUUCAACUUUGUGAUACACUUUCAAAGAGUCGGAUUGUUUGGGGAUGCAGUCCAAAAUGGGUGGUAAAUUUCAUCUAAAGCUAAAUAUUGGCGAGAGACCGAUAGCGAACAAGUACCGUGAGGGAAAGAUGAAAAGAACUUUGAAAAGAGAGUUAAACAGUACGUGAAAUUGUCAAAAGGGAAGCGUUUGACACCAGUGUUGUUUUUCUGAAAAUCAAUUAAAGAACUGUUUAUGCUAAGCUGUUUAGACUUUAUCAGCUAACUGUUUAGUUUUGAGCUUUUCUUUAAUGCACUUUUCAGUUAACAAGUCAACAUCAAUUUCUUUUGCUGUAAAAAAGCUUGAGGAAGGUGGCUUGAGAUUCGUCUUAAGUGUUUAUAGCCUCUUGCCUAUGCAGUCGGAGAGAUUGAGGUCUGCAGCGUAGAUCCUUCGGGGCUAAAUGCAUUUGUGCUAAGUUAUAGCAUUUUAUAGACAACUUGUUGACUAUGAUUUGUCUUGUAGCUUACUCGCUUAUGUUAUUUUACCUACGCUUAGGAUGUUGAACGCGCACAGAGUCUC
RNAcentral lists this ribosomal RNA (774 nucleotides) under uncultured Neocallimastigales. RNAcentral describes it as "partial large subunit ribosomal RNA". It matches the Rfam family "Eukaryotic large subunit ribosomal RNA", at positions 24 to 635 of the family's 3401-position model. Lineage: Eukaryota; Fungi; Neocallimastigomycota; Neocallimastigomycetes; Neocallimastigales. The record is from RNAcentral.